This 254-nucleotide ribosomal RNA is filed under the name uncultured bacterium. Its description in RNAcentral is "partial 16S ribosomal RNA". It matches the Rfam family "Bacterial small subunit ribosomal RNA", at positions 524 to 776 of the family's 1533-position model. The record is from RNAcentral.
UACGUAGGGGGCGAGCGUUGUCCGGAGUUCUGGGCGUAAAGGGCGUGCAGGCGGUGCGGUAAGUUUAGCGUGACAGUCUCCGGCUUAACUGGAGAAGGCCGCUGAAAACUGCUGGACUUGAGGGCCAGAGAGGGACAUAGAAUUCCGGGUGGAGUGGUGAAAUGCGUAGAUAUCCGGAGGAAUACCAAAGGCGAAGGCAGUGUCCUGGCUGGCAACUGACGCCUGGAGGCGCGAAAGCUAGGGGAGCGAACAGG